Physcomitrium patens is the source of this 1540-nucleotide non-coding RNA. Lineage: Eukaryota; Viridiplantae; Streptophyta; Bryopsida; Funariales; Funariaceae. The record is from RefSeq and is a predicted model, not a curated record.
UCGUUGUUGUUGUUGUUGUUGUUGUUGAUGUUUUUUUUUUUCCAAAUAUCAUCAAACAAUAGAGUGCUGUAGGUUUGGAUUUAUCCCUGCUCACUUGAGAGGCGUAAAGUCCUCAUCUUGCACUAAAAUCUCGACAGAUAAGGUGAAGGGAGGUUUGGAAUUGUGGGUUGCCAUGCUGGAGGCUUUCUUUGUCGCAUCCCCUCUUGCUCGAUUUCUGCCCUUUUGCCCGUUCUCGUGACGACUUGGAAAGGGUUUACAGCUUCCAGGAAGGGCUUUCACGACACCCUUGAUGCAUUCAUCGUCCGAUAGAAAUCGUGGAUGAUCAAGCUCUCUAUUCCACAACCACACUGAGGCGUGUAAGUGUGAAGCUUGGGUCAGACAUGGGGGCAGUCAUUGUAUUGGCUGUGACGGUUUUUGGUCAUUUCUUGGCCUCAGCAACGAGCUAUGGGUGUCUGUUAUGGUGCUUAUCAGGCGUAUGCUUUCGGUUCUGGAGCUUGUGGCUUCAAGCCUGUAGUCGAAGAUUCAGGGAUGGAUUAUUGAUUAGCGGACCAUCCAAUUUCUUCCCAUCACCACUUUCAUCAAUAAUACUUCUGUUCUAGAGUAAGCGAAGACACGUGAUCUUCACUUCCCUAUGAUGAUUCAAGAUUGAGGAUAUUGAAGUGACACUUUGAACGUCAGAAGGUUUCCCAGCUCAUAAUUUCCUAACUUGUAUGCUCAGACUUUUUAUUGCAACAUUUUUAUAUCAAGUCGAGCCCAGAAAACAUCAGUCAGUUUUGACAUUCAUCAGCAACGUCAACAGACACCAUGGCAUUUUGAACGCCACUAAUUCCCUGUUGGAGUUCGUCUCCCAAGGCAGAAGACCUAUCCUGACCAACUGGCCGACACUGUGGGGGCAAGGGUAAAGAACGUGCAGCAUCUACGAAAGUUCGUUUCAGGGUUUGGCACCGCUUCGGUGACCAGGGCUAAGCUGGUUCGUGGUUCGGAAGCCAGAUUGGCCCCAGAGCCAUCAAGCCAGACCUGUGCGGUCAGGUAUGGAUCUUGGGACCGAUGCGGCUGUGGCUGUCAGUGUGGGACCCAUUCCCUGUUGUCACUUGUGGAUUGGGUCUCUCAGCCUCUGCUUAAAGGAUGUGAUUGGGAAAGACCCCUCAUCACGGCAUUUUUAAUUGUUGAGCCAUUUUGGCACCCUUUCGAAUUGGGAUACCUUUUGAACUAAGUUUUAGGCCACAAAAUGAACUCAUCCCACUGGCUCACUAGCUCACUCACUCACUCACUCAUUUCCCCCCUCUUGAAAUAACUUGAAGUGUUAACCUUGACUAAUAGGUGGUGAAAAGCAUUGAUGUCAUUCAAACUCUGGUCCCUAAUUCUUCUUGUAAGAUGGGAUUUGAAAGCACACACCACUUCCAAAAGUGCAACCUUUUGUUUAUUUUCCAAAGUGGUUUUCAAAAUUACCAUCUUGUGCAGGAUGGGAAAGCCAUUGGAUCUCUGUUUUAACUGGCAAUAAUACAUGUUUCCUAGGGUAAAUGGAGAAGUGGAUUACAAA